RNAcentral lists this unclassified non-coding RNA (353 nucleotides) under soil metagenome. RNAcentral describes it as "partial contains 5.8S ribosomal RNA, internal transcribed spacer 2, and large subunit ribosomal RNA". The stretch from base 1 to 120 matches the Rfam family "5.8S ribosomal RNA", at positions 35 to 154 of the family's 154-position model. The record is from RNAcentral.
GAUGAAGAACGCAGCGAAAUGCGAUAAGUAAUGUGAAUUGCAGAAUUCAGUGAAUCAUCGAAUCUUUGAACGCACAUUGCGCCCGCCAGUACUCUGGCGGGCAUGCCUGUUCGAGCGUCAUUACAACCCUCAGGCCCCCGGGCCUGGCGUUGGGGAUCGGCGGAAGCCCCCUGCGGGCACAACGCCGUCCCCCAAAUACAGUGGCGGUCCCGCCGCAGCUUCCAUUGCGUAGUAGCUAACACCUCGCAACUGGAGAGCGGCGCGGCCACGCCGUAAAACACCCAACUUCUGAAUGUUGACCUCGAAUCAGGUAGGAAUACCCGCUGAACUUAAGCAUAUCAAUAAGCGGAGGA